RNAcentral lists this ribosomal RNA (425 nucleotides) under uncultured bacterium. RNAcentral describes it as "bacterial SSU rRNA". It matches the Rfam family "Bacterial small subunit ribosomal RNA", at positions 347 to 767 of the family's 1533-position model. The record is from RNAcentral.
GGCUGCAGUCGAGAAUCUUCGGCAAUGGGCGCAAGCCUGACCGAGCGACGCCGCGUGUGGGAUGAAGGCCUUCGGGUUGUAAACCACUGUCGGGGGGGAUGAAAUACUUAGGAGUUAUCUCCUAGGCUUGACAUAUCCUCGGAGGAAGGACGGGCUAAGUUCGUGCCAGCAGCCGCGGUAAGACGAACCGUCCAAACGUUAUUCGGAAUUACUGGGCUUAAAGGGUGCGUAGGCGGCGCGGAAAGUAGGGUGUGAAAUCCCUCGGCUCAACCGAGGAAUGGCGCUCUAAACUACCGUGCUUGAGGAAGAUAGAGGAGAGCGGAACUUAGGGUGGAGCGGUGAAAUGCGUUGAUAUCCUAAGGAACACCGGUGGCGAAGGCGGCUCUCUGGAUCUUUUCUGACGCUGAGGCACGAAAGCUAGGGGA